UAAGCCCAGCGCAUAACCUCCCGGGCUACCAAGCCUGCGGCGGAAUGUUGCGUUAAAGGAAAGGUCGUUAUAAAGCCCUGCACAGCGUAUUCCUAAGUUUGGCUGGAAUCUUCCACUGUUUUUUAACGAAAACAUCGGCUCCAUAGAGGGUGAUAGACCCGUGUGGCUACGUGGAUAUGUGCAUGGGUUCGGCUUUUUUCCUUGAGAGUCGCGUUGCUUGAACAUGCAGCGCUAAGCAGGACGUAAACUCGUCCUAAGGCUAAAUAUUUCCACAGAACCGAUAGUAAACAAGUACCGUGAGGGAAAGUUGAAAAGCACUCUGAAGAGAGAGUCAAAAGACCGUGAAACCGUUUAGAGUAUAAGCCAAUGGUAAUCCGGAAGGCAUGGAGCAGGCAAUUCCCUUGUGGGAAAAGCUGUCGUGUGUGAUAAAGAAGGCAAGGAAAGUGGAAGACAGUGGCAUUGAGUUGAUAGCACUCCUGUGAAAACUCGCGGGUCUCUGACAGUGGUAACUGGGAAGGUUCUAAUGAGGAUCCGACCCUAGGCUGGGCUUGUGCGAGCUCCUGCUUUGAGUCACACGUACGAGUUGCUUAUAAUACAGCCCACCACAACUCUUUAUAAGGUCACCCGCAUGAGACGUGGCUGUGUGUUGUCGUGGCGAGCCUCUGGUUACAGCAACAUGAGACCAGGGCCGGCCGACUUCCUCAUGUCCCCUAACGUGCGUUGGUAUGAUCCUAUGUGAAGGUUGUUUUCUGACCAUCCUAAAACCUAAAUGAGGCUGGAAAAGUCGGGGGAGUUUGUGGGCGUUCGGCAACGUUCGUGUGCUCCCGUUGGUGGCGGAUGCGUGGUGAUUUAUUCCGGAGCCAUUGGUCACGUCUCGAAACACGGGCCAAGGAGCAUAGCAUGUGCGCAAGUCUAAGGGUCCUAUAAAACCUGGAGGCGAAGUGAAAGCAAAUUGGUGUGUUCGUCGUCAGCCCUCGGGUUGUCGGCGGGCAGCUUACAUGUUACGUAAUUCCUAUUUGGAUGAAUGCGUCAUCGGCUACAACCGAGUUGAUCCUUCGUAAUAAAGCCUAAUGGCGAUACGUCGGCGCAAACUCCAGACUCUCUGGUCGGCACUUUGUCGUAUGAGAGUACUGUGUAGCGUGUAUGCUAUGACCCGAAAGAUAGUGAACUAUGCCUGGCGA
Molecule: ribosomal RNA, 1181 nt
Filed under: Echiniphimedia echinata
Lineage: Eukaryota; Metazoa; Arthropoda; Malacostraca; Amphipoda; Iphimediidae
Description: partial 28S ribosomal RNA
Rfam family: Eukaryotic large subunit ribosomal RNA
Source: RNAcentral